UACGUAGGGGCCAAGCGUUGUCCGGAUUUAUUGGGCGUAAAGAGCUCGUAGGCGGUCUGUCGCGUCUGCUGUGAAAACUCAGGGCUUAACCCUGAGCUUGCAGUGGGUACGGGCAGACUAGAGUGCGGUAGGGGAGACUGGAAUUCCUGGUGUAGCGGUGAAAUGCGCAGAUAUCAGGAGGAACACCGGUGGCGAAGGCGGGUCUCUGGGCCGUAACUGACGCUGAGGAGCGAAAGCAUGGGGAGCGAACAGG
This 253-nucleotide ribosomal RNA is filed under the name uncultured bacterium. Its description in RNAcentral is "partial 16S ribosomal RNA". It matches the Rfam family "Bacterial small subunit ribosomal RNA", at positions 524 to 776 of the family's 1533-position model. The record is from RNAcentral.